Molecule: non-coding RNA, 74 nt
Organism: Rhamnusium bicolor
Lineage: Eukaryota; Metazoa; Arthropoda; Insecta; Coleoptera; Cerambycidae
Source: the annotation of a GenBank genome assembly
GGCUCCGUGGUCGAAUGGUAAUGACAUUUGCCUCUCUAGUGGAAUCCCGGGUUCGAUCCCCAGCCGAGGAGCUA